Helianthus annuus (common sunflower) is the source of this 2270-nucleotide long non-coding RNA. RefSeq lists it as uncharacterized. The record is from RefSeq and is a predicted model, not a curated record. Lineage: Eukaryota; Viridiplantae; Streptophyta; Magnoliopsida; Asterales; Asteraceae. The transcript has 7 exons.
UAAAGUGUUCGCUCAUACGACUUGAAUGCUGUCUAUCUGUUCAAAUGAAGAAGAACCUUUGUAGAGAGGCCCUUUCUACAACAACUGCUCUAAAUUCGUGGAGAGAUUGGGCAAAACAAGGCGAUGAACACACUCGAACGAUCGCACAACUUGUUGUUGACACUAUUAGGGAUGAUGACUUUUGGGAUGAAGUUGAAAACAUCUUAAAAAAAAGAAAUACUGACCGGAACUCCCUUCCUGUCAUUGUGGCAUCAAUGUAUGGUACAAAGCGAAUGGUUCACUAUCUCUACUCCAAGACUCCAAGUGAGCUGCUGGACCCGGGUAACGGAUUGGACGGUGUGUCUCUGCUGAAUAAUUUGAUCACAGCAGAAUUAUGUGGUGUUGCAGGGUAGAGUUUCAGCAGAUUGUAUCUGAUGAAGGCGUUGCAUGAAAACUAUGAAGAAAGAAUAAAAAGAGUACAUUAAGUUACAUGGAUGAUGCUCUCGUAAUGCAUGUGAAUUCCUUUGAUUGUCAUUUCAUGUUUCUCGAAUUGUCGCUUCGGUUGCCUAAUUACACCGAAUAAGAAAUCUAAAUGGGAUAAGUAAGAGAAGCUAGAAAUCAGGCAGGCGUGGUGGACAUGGCGAUCAUGGGUUCAGGCGUGGUGGCUGUCUCGGUUACAUUUUAUUUUGUUCAUACGUCAGUAAUCAUGAAUCAUUUUGUAGGCAAUCUCGCCCUUGUGAUACUUGGAUGGAUUCUUGUGACGGGAACAUUUAUAUUGGCUGGAGUGUUCUUCGUUUUGCACAAUGUGACUGCAGAUAGUUGUGUAUCGAUGAAUCAGUGAGUUGAGAACCCGACAGCUCAUACGGUUUUAGACAACAUUCUUCCAUGUGUAGACAACGCCACCGCUCAAGAAACUUCACAGAGGACCAAGGAAGUCACCUCUCAACUUGUUAAUGUCAUCAACCAAGUCAUCACUAAUGUCACUAAUAUCAACUUUGCCCCAAAUUUCACCCCUCUCUUUUUCAAUCAAUCUGGACCCAAGAUGCCCCUUCUUUGCAAUCCCUUUAAGCCCAACUUCACCGAUCGAACUUGUGACCCUACAGAAGUCUCGUUGAGCAAUGCCACACAUGUAUUUGUUAUCAUAUCUAACACGUUAGCUAUUGUCAACUGAACAACUCGACCCAAUAUAACACAUUCUUUAUUCGUUGCUGGUGUACACCAAAUAAGAAAUCUAAAUGGGUAAGAGAAGCUAGAAAUGAAGGCAGGCGUGGUGGACAUGGCGAUCAUGGGUUCGGGCGUGGUGGCUGUCUCGGUCACAUUUUAUUUUGUUCAUACGUCACUAAUCAUGACUCAUUUUGUAGGCAAUCUUGCGUAAGUUUCACUUUUAAAGUGUUCGCUCAUACGACUUGAAUGCUGUCUAUCUGUUCAAAUGAAGAAGAACCUAUUAGCGAGCCUUAUAUUUUUACACAAGAAUGGUGUGAAUAUCUAACUUACAUUUAUAUAUAUUUUUAGCUAUACAUAAAAUUUGAUUUCUUGCAUUGGAUUUGGGCUUGAGUUUUUUACAAAUAGAUUGAUUUUCAUUCUCAAUAAAAUAAAAAAAAUGUCGCAUACAUCCAAAAUGUAUACGAGGAAGAAAUGGUGUCAAAUUGUUAGCUUAACAUAAUAACGUCAAUUUUUGUAAGACUCAUCAAUACAGAGUUGUUUUUUUUCCUAGAUACUUUGUUUAGGAACUAAUUGAUGAAUUUCAUCAUAUGAUAGCAAAAGAAAUAACUAUUAAAAGGUCAGGACUUUUUUUUUAUGAAAGAACUAAUGUUACAUACAUAUAGUGAUGAGCAUUUGAGAUUAGAUACCGGUACCGAAUUUCUCGUACUGAAUUAUUUUCUGUACCAAUUCGGUACCCAUUUUUUGGCGUUCUUGGUAUCGGUGCUUUUGGUUCGAUACAUGUUUGGUACGGUACCAGUAUAUUACCGAGCUAUAUGUCACAACAGCGUGACAUAACCGAUAGGAUAAGAGGCAUUCUCAUCGAUUGGCUAAUUGAGGUUCAUUACAAGUUUGAACUUAUGGAAGAGACUCUAUAUCUAACUGUCAAUCUUGUUGACCGGUUCCUGCCGCGCCGACCCGUUGUAAGGAAGAAUCUUCAACACGUUGGAAUAACUGCAAUGCUUCUCGCUUGUAAAUAUGAAGAAGUCACGGUGCCGAUUGUCAAUGAUUUUAUUGUAAUUUCUGAUGAAGCUUACACGAGAUCUGAAGUUCUUGAUAUGGUAACUAAUGAACAUAAUUUUAUUUAUCUA